UCGAGUGGGUUUAGACCCACGGCAAACGGGUGAGUAAUACCCAGGAACGUACCCUUAGUUGAGCAUAAUCCACCGAAAGGUGGGAUAAUUCUCAAUGUGAUCGCAAGAUUAAAGUCGCAAGACGCUAAGGAAGCGGCCUGGGCACCAUCAGCUAGUUGGUAAGGUAAUGGCUUACCAAGGCUUUGACGGUUAGGGGCCCCGAGAGGGGAAACCUCCACACUGGAACUGAGACACGGUCCAG
RNAcentral lists this ribosomal RNA (241 nucleotides) under uncultured bacterium. RNAcentral describes it as "partial 16S ribosomal RNA". It matches the Rfam family "Bacterial small subunit ribosomal RNA", at positions 62 to 334 of the family's 1533-position model. The record is from RNAcentral.